This 1309-nucleotide ribosomal RNA is filed under the name Cumulospora marina. RNAcentral describes it as "LSU rRNA". It matches the Rfam family "Eukaryotic large subunit ribosomal RNA", at positions 80 to 1408 of the family's 3401-position model. The record is from RNAcentral. Lineage: Eukaryota; Fungi; Ascomycota; Sordariomycetes; Lulworthiales; Lulworthiaceae.
UCAGUAGCGGCGAGCGAAGCGGCAAGAGCUCAAAUUUGAAAUCUGGCCCCCGGGCCCGAGUUGUAAUUUGCAGAGGAUGCUCCCGGCGACGCGCCUGCCGAAGUCCCCUGGAACGGGGCGCCGCAGAGGGUGAGAGCCCCGUGCGGCGGGACGCCGAGCCGUAGCGGAGCUCCCUCGAAGAGUCGAGCAGUUUGGGAAUGCUGCUCUAAGCGGGAGGUACAUUCCUUCUAAAGCUAAAUACCGGCCAGAGACCGAUAGCGCACAAGUAGAGUGAUCGAAAGAUGAAAAGUACCUUGGAAAGAGGGUCAAACAGUACGUGAAAUUGCUGAAGGGGAAGCGUCUGCGGCCAGACGCGGGCUCGGUGGAUCAUCCGGUUCUCGCGGACCGGUGCACUCCGCCGCUGCCCGGGCCAGCGUCGGCUCGCCGCCGGGCCAGAAGGACGGGGGAAACGUGGCUCCCCCCGGGGAGACCUUAUAGACCCCCGUUUGAUAGCCCGGCGCGGGCCGAGGAACGCGCUACGUGCAAGGAUGCUGGCGUAAUGGCCGCCGGCGACCCGUCUUGAAACACGGACCAAGGAGUCGAACACCCACGCGAGUGCUCGGGCGCAAAACCCGAGCGCGCAAUGAAAGUGAACGGAGGCGGGAGCCCUCGGGCGCACCGUCGACCGAUCCAGAGGUUUAACCGAAGGAUUUGAGUAGGAGCGUGGCUGGUCGGACCCGAAAGAUGGUGAACUAUGCCUGCGUAGGGCGAAGCCAGAGGAAACUCUGGUGGAGGCUCGCAGCGGUUCUGACGUGCAAAUCGAUCGUCGAACGUGGGCAUGGGGGCGAAAGACUAAUCGAACCAUCUAGUAGCUGGUUCCCGCCGAAGUUUCCCUCAGGAUAGCAGCGCCGAUCUCAGUUUUAUGAGGUAAAGCGAAUGAUUAGGGACUCGGGGGCGCUGACAUGCCUUCAUCCAUUCUCAAACUUUGAAUAUGUAAGAAGCUCCCGUCACUUAAUUGGACGGGGGCGUUCGAAUGCAACGGCGCUAGUGGGCCAUUUUUGGUAAGCAGAACUGGCGAUGCGGGAUGAACCGAACGCGGGGUUAAGGUGCCGGAGUGGACGCUCAUCAGACACCACAAAAGGCGUUAGUACAUCUUGACAGCAGGACGGUGGCCAUGGAAGUCGGAAUCCGCUAAGGACUGUGUAACAACUCACCUGCCGAAUGUACUAGCCCUGAAAAUGGAUGGCGCUCAAGCGUCCCACCCAUACCCCGCCCCCCGGGCAGGACCGAGGCCCGGGGGAGUAGGCGGGCGCGGGGGUCAGUGACGAAG